AGUGAACGCUGGCGGUAGGCCUAACACAUGCAAGUCGAACGGCAGCACAGUAAGAGCUUGCUCUUACGGGUGGCGAGUGGCGGACGGGUGAGGAAUACAUCGGAAUCUACUUUUUCGUGGGGGAUAACGUAGGGAAACUUACGCUAAUACCGCAUACGACCUACGGGUGAAAGCAGGGGAUCUUCGGACCUUGCGCGAUUGAAUGAGCCGAUGUCGGAUUAGUUAGUUGGCGGGGUAAAGGCCCACCAAGGCGACGAUCCGUAGCUGGUCUGAGAGGAUGGUCAGCCACACUGGAACUGAGACACGGUCCAGACUCCUACGGGAGGCAGCAGUGGGGAAUAUGGGACAAUGGGCGCAAGCCUGAUCCAGCCAUACCGCGUGGGUGAAGAAGGCCUUCGGGUUGUAAAGCCCUUUUGUUGGGAAAGAAAAGCAGCAGGUUAAUACCCCGCUGUUCUGACGGUACCCAAAGAAUAAGCACCGGCUAACUUCGUG
RNAcentral lists this ribosomal RNA (492 nucleotides) under uncultured bacterium. RNAcentral describes it as "partial 16S ribosomal RNA". It matches the Rfam family "Bacterial small subunit ribosomal RNA", at positions 29 to 507 of the family's 1533-position model. The record is from RNAcentral.